RNAcentral lists this small RNA (617 nucleotides) under Pan troglodytes (chimpanzee). RNAcentral describes it as "retained intron". The record is from RNAcentral. Lineage: Eukaryota; Metazoa; Chordata; Mammalia; Primates; Hominidae.
ACGCGUCGCUUCGUGAUGCUGCGAGAUAACUCGGGGGACCCGGCCGACCCGCACAAGGUGUACGCGCUCAGCCGGGAGCUGUGCUGGCGAGAAGGCCCAGGCACGGACCAGACUGAGGCAGAGGCCCCCGCAGCUGUCCCACCACCACAGGUAGCCUUCUCUCUGCCUGCCUCUCCUCCUACCAGGCCGCGGAACUGCUUACGUUGACCCUGACUUUUCCCUGCAGGGUGGGCCCCCAGGGCCAUUCCUGGCACACACAGAUGCUGGACUCCAAGCCCCAGGCCCCCUCCCUGCCCCGGCUGGUGACAAGGGGGACCUCCUGCUCCAGGCAGUGCAACAGAGCUGCCUGGCGGACCAUCUGCUGACAGCGUCAUGGGGGGCAGAUCCAGUCCCAACCAAGGCUCCUGGAGAGGGACAAGAAGGGCUUCCCCUGACUGGGGCCUGUGCUGGAGGUGUGGGCGUGCCCGGGGAGGCGGGGAGCGCGGGAGGGGCCAGUGCACCUGGACGGACACUUGAGAAGGGGGCUGGGGAUUGGGGAGCUGGAGAAUUAGGAGGGGACCACCGUUCCCACUGUCCUCCCCUCCUCAGGCCCAGGGCUCCCUGCUGGGGAGCUGUAC